This 253-nucleotide ribosomal RNA is filed under the name uncultured bacterium. Its description in RNAcentral is "partial 16S ribosomal RNA". It matches the Rfam family "Bacterial small subunit ribosomal RNA", at positions 524 to 776 of the family's 1533-position model. The record is from RNAcentral.
GACAGAGGCCUCGAGCGUUAGGCGGAAUCACUGGGCUUAAAGCGUGUGUAGGCGGAGGCGUAAGUACCUUGUGAAAUCCCACGGCUCAACCGUGGAACUGCUGGGGAUACUGCGUUUCUUGAGCCAUUUAGGGGCGAGUGGAACGGAUGGUGGAGCGGUGAAAUGCAUAGAUAUCAUCCGGAACGCCUGUGGUGAAGACGACUCGCUGGGAAUGUGCUGACGCUGAGACACGAAAGCCAGGGGAGCAAACGGG